RNAcentral lists this long non-coding RNA (494 nucleotides) under Homo sapiens (human). RNAcentral's name for it is "non-protein coding lnc-EXD2-2:1". Lineage: Eukaryota; Metazoa; Chordata; Mammalia; Primates; Hominidae. The record is from RNAcentral.
AUGUCACCCAAGUUCAACCCCAACAAGAUCAAAGUCGUAUACCUGAGGUGCACGAGUGGGGAAGUCAGUACUACAUCUGCUCUGGUUCCUAAGAUCAGCCCCCUGGGUCUGUCUCCAAAAAAGGCCAAUGAGGACAUCACCAAGACAAGUGACUGGAAGGGCCAGAGGAUCCCAGUGAAACUGACGGUGCAGAACACACAGGCCAGAUUCAAGUGGCAUCUUCUGCCUCUGCAGUGAUCAUGAAAGCCCUUGAGGAACCACCAAGAGACAGAAACAAGCAGAAAAACAUUAAGUACAGUGGAAAUAUCAUUUGUGGUGAGAUCAUCAACAUUGCCCAACAGAUGCAGCACUGAUCUUUAGCCAGAGAACUCUCUGGAAUCAUUAAAGAGAUCGUGAGGACUGCCUAGUCUGUGGGCUGUAGUGUUGAUGGCGCCACCCUCACGACAUCACAGAUGGCUUUGAUAGUGGUGCGGGUGGAGUGGCCAGCUAGUUAA